UCAGGACGAACGCUGGCGGCGUGCCUAACACAUGCAAGUCGAACGGGGUUAUAUAAGAAGCUUGCUUUGAAUAUAACCAAGUGGCGGACGGGUGAGUAACGCGUGAGGACCUGUCUCCGGCAGGGGGACAACAUUUGGAAACGGAUGCUAAUACCGCAUAAGCCGAGAGGUGAAAGGAGCAAUCCGGCAGGAGAGGGACUCGCGUUCUAUCAGCUAGUACGCGGGGUAAAGGCCCACCUAGGCGAAGACGGAUAGCCGGACUGAGAGGUCGACCGGCCACACUGGAACUGAGACACGGUCCAGACUCCUACGGGAGGCAACAGUGGGGAAUAUUGGGCAAUGGGGGCAACCCUUGACCCAGCGACGCCGCGUGGGUGAAGAAAUCCCUCGGGAUGUAAAGCCCUGUUGUUGUGGGAAGAACAAAUGACCGUACCGCACGAGGAAAGCCCCGGCAAACUACGUGCCAGCAGCCCCGGUAAUACGUGCGGGGCGAGCGUUGUUCCGAAAUUACUGGGCGUAUACCCCACCCAGGCGGUUCGUUGAAUCUGCUGUCCACAGGCUGAAGCUCAACCUCAGUUUCUACCACCAGAUA
Molecule: ribosomal RNA, 592 nt
Filed under: uncultured bacterium
Lineage: Bacteria
Description: bacterial SSU rRNA
Rfam family: Bacterial small subunit ribosomal RNA
Source: RNAcentral